AGCAUCGACACCAUGUCCCAACGGUGAGGUUUUGGUAGACUGCCCGGUUAACCCGUGUGCAAGAUAUAUCUGCCUUAGCCCAGCUGACUUAAAAUGCGAACCUAACUACUGUGGAGAAUGCACCAGGGUGUGGUACUCUGGCACUGAGCCAGCCACCUGCUGGAUAGAAGACGUAACUUCCUUCGAUGGUUAAACGGAGAUUUUACAUGUUAAGUUACUUCCGUGUUAUAUAUUGUGAACUCGUUAAAAGCUUGUCGUGAUAAAGACGAGCAAUGUAUUUUCAAACAAACAUCUGUGUAAUAUGGCAUUAAGAAUGUUAAUGGCCAUGAUCACACCAAAACUUUGUUUUUUUCCGUAUGUAUAAGCCAAUUUUGAAUUACAUUUUUCCAUUAUGAUUGCAGUAAUCGAUUUUAACAUGCAGAUAUCCACGCCUUGUGCGCAUAAAUAUCCUCAAUUACCAUUAACAUACUCGUAUGUCGUGUUUUAUUAGUUGGCCCAAAUGUGCAGCACAUAUGCAAAUACACACUGCUUGCUAUGGAUACGUGAUUUAAUCAAGUAUUUGCACAACUAAUUAAUAAAAUGUAAGAAGA
This is a long non-coding RNA of Dreissena polymorpha, 590 nucleotides long. RefSeq lists it as uncharacterized. The transcript has 2 exons. NCBI's taxonomy places the organism in Eukaryota, Metazoa, Mollusca, Bivalvia, Myida, Dreissenidae. The record is from RefSeq and is a predicted model, not a curated record.